RNAcentral lists this ribosomal RNA (467 nucleotides) under Loma richardi. Its description in RNAcentral is "SSU rRNA". It matches the Rfam family "Microsporidia small subunit ribosomal RNA", at positions 691 to 1154 of the family's 1311-position model. Lineage: Eukaryota; Fungi; Microsporidia; Glugeidae. The record is from RNAcentral.
GAUGCCGAUGUCGUGGUGCCGAAUAAUGGCGACGCGAAAGAGAAAUCGAGUAGGGCCCUGGGGAGAGUACACGCGCAAGCGAGAAAUUUAAAGGAAAUUGACGGAAGAACACCACAAGGAGUGGAGUGUGCGGCUUAAUUUGACUCAACGCGGGACAACUUACCGGGCCCGACGACCGUAUGAGUGUAACACACGAUAGGUCGAAGAGUGGUGCAUGGCCGUUAACGACGAGUGGAGUGAUCUUUGGGUUAAGUCCGUAAAUUAGUGAGACCUCAGCCGUAAGGGACAGGUGCGCAAAGCACAGGAAGGAUGGGUCAAGGACAGGUCAGUGAUGCCCUUAGAUGGUCCGGGCUGCACGCGCACUACAGUGGUCGCCGAAAUUACCUGAUAAUUUUAAAGGCGAUCGAGAGGAAAUGAGCUUUGUAAGAGGCUCAGGAACGAGGAAUUGCUAGUAAUCGCGGACUCAU